GGCUCAAUUUGCCACGAAUCCCGAACCUCAUCACACCUUUAGUAGGAGAUAUUUUCAAGAAAACAUGAUCACCAAUCUGGAACUCUAGUUCUCUUCUCCUAUUGUCAGCAUAACUCUUUUGUCUACUCUGAGCUAUAAGGAGCCGUUCUCUGAUCACCUGUAUCUUAUCCACAGUUUGUUGUACUAUCUCUGGACCCAAUACUUUUCUUUCUCCCACAUCAUCCCAACAAAUUGGAGAUCGGCAUUUCCUGCCAUACAAUGCCUCAAAAGGAGC
RNAcentral lists this long non-coding RNA (274 nucleotides) under Phoenix dactylifera (date palm). Its description in RNAcentral is "long non-coding RNA (PDAC_LNC013696)". Lineage: Eukaryota; Viridiplantae; Streptophyta; Magnoliopsida; Arecales; Arecaceae. The record is from RNAcentral.